This 239-nucleotide long non-coding RNA is filed under the name Fukomys damarensis (Damara mole-rat). RNAcentral describes it as "lncRNA (ENSFDAG00000028293.1)". The record is from RNAcentral. Lineage: Eukaryota; Metazoa; Chordata; Mammalia; Rodentia; Bathyergidae.
GGGGCCAGGGGUUUAGCUCAGUGGUUCUGGAGCCUGCCUCGCAAGCACAAGGACCCAAGUUCGAUCCCCGGUACCAAAAAAAGCCAAAACAACAACAACAACAACAAACUAUUUUGAUUAGCAAACAAGACUAUCAAAGAAUGAUCAUUCUUCAAACAACCAAACCUGAUCUUCCCAUGUCUCCUUUCUAUCAGUCAGGAUGAGACUUCAGAUGCCUUACUAGGCAGGAUCAAUGCCCC